CCUACGGGAGACAGCAGUGAGGAAUAUUGGUCAAUGGUCGGGAGACUGAACCAGCCAAGCCGCGUGAGGGAUGAAGGUACAGAGUAUCGUAAACCUCUUUUGUCAGGGAACAAAGGCGGGGACGUGUCCCCGGAUGAGUGUACCUGAAGAAAAAGCAUCGGCUAACUCCGUGACAGCAGCCGCGGUAAUACGGAGGAUGCGAGCGUUAUCCGGAUCUAUUGGGGUAAAGGGGUGCGCAGGGGUUCUGUUAAGUCAGCGGUAAAAGCCCGGGGCUCAACCCCGGCCCGCCGUUGAAACUGGCAGGCUCGAGUUCGAGAGAAGUAUGCGGAAUGCGCGGUGUAGCGGUGAAAUGCAUAGAUAUCGCGAAGAACUCCGAUUGCGAAGGCAGCAUGCCGGCUCCACACUGACGCUGAGGCACGAAAGCGUGGGUAUCGAACAGGAUUAGAUACCCCUGUAGUC
This 459-nucleotide ribosomal RNA is filed under the name uncultured bacterium. RNAcentral's name for it is "partial 16S ribosomal RNA". It matches the Rfam family "Bacterial small subunit ribosomal RNA", at positions 338 to 795 of the family's 1533-position model. The record is from RNAcentral.